AUUGAACGCUGGCGGCAUGCCUUACACAUGCAAGUCGAACGGCAGCACGGGUGCUUGCACCUGGUGGCGAGUGGCGAACGGGUGAGUAAUACAUCGGAACAUGUCCUGUAGUGGGGGAUAGCCCGGCGAAAGCCGGAUUAAUACCGCAUACGAUCCACGGAUGAAAGCGGGGGACCUUCGGGCCUCGCGCUAUAGGGUUGGCCGAUGGCUGAUUAGCUAGUUGGUGGGGUAAAGGCCUACCAAGGCGACGAUCAGUAGCUGGUCUGAGAGGACGACCAGCCACACUGGGACUGAGACACGGCCCAGACUCCUACGGGAGGCAGCAGUGGGGAAUUUUGGACAAUGGGCGAAAGCCUGAUCCAGCAAUGCCGCGUGUGUGAAGAGGGCCUUCGGGUUGUAAAGCACUUUUGUCCGGAAAGAAAUCCUUGACUCUAAUACAGUCGGGGGAUGACGGUACCGGAAGAAUAAACACCGGCUAACUACGU
Molecule: ribosomal RNA, 485 nt
Filed under: uncultured bacterium
Lineage: Bacteria
Description: partial 16S ribosomal RNA
Rfam family: Bacterial small subunit ribosomal RNA
Source: RNAcentral